AAGGGCUCGCAGGCGGUUUCUUAAGUCUGAUGUGAAAGCCCCCGGCUCAACCGGGGAGGGUCAUUGGAAACUGGGGAACUUGAGUGCAGAAGAGGAGAAUGGAAUUCCACGUGUAGCGGUGAAAUGCGUAGAGAUGUGGAGGAACACCAGUGGCGAAGGCGACUCUCUGGUCUGUAACUGACGCUGAGGAGCGAAAGCGUGGGGAGCGAACAGGAUUAGAUACCCUGGUAGUCCACGCCGUAAACGAUGAGUGCUAAGUGUUAGGGGGUUUCCGCCCCUUAGUGCUGCAGCUAACGCAUUAAGCACUCCGCCUGGGGAGUACGGUCGCAAGACUGAAACUCAAAGGAAUUGACGGGGGCCCGCACAAGCGGUGGAGCAUGUGGUUUAAUUCGAAGCAACGCGAAGAACCUUACCAGGUCUUGACAUCCUCUGACAAUCCUAGAGAUAGGACGUCCCCUUCGGGGGCAGAGUGACAGGUGGUGCAUGGUUGUCGUCAGCUCGUGUCGUGAGAUGUUGGGUUAAGUCCCGCAACGAGCGCAACCCUUGAUCUUAGUUGCCAGCAUUCAGUUGGGCACUCUAAGGUGACUGCCGGUGACAAACCGGAGGAAGGUGGGGAUGACGUCAAAUCAUCAUGCCCCUUAUGACCUGGGCUACACACGUGCUACAAUGGACAGAACAAAGGGCAGCGAAACCGCGAGGUUAAGCCAAUCCCACAAAUCUGUUCUCAGUUCGGAUCGCAGUCUGCAACUCGACUGCGUGAAGCUGGAAUCGCUAGUAAUCGCGGAUCA
RNAcentral lists this ribosomal RNA (788 nucleotides) under Bacillus vallismortis. Its description in RNAcentral is "bacterial SSU rRNA". It matches the Rfam family "Bacterial small subunit ribosomal RNA", at positions 563 to 1351 of the family's 1533-position model. The record is from RNAcentral. Lineage: Bacteria; Bacillati; Bacillota; Bacilli; Caryophanales; Bacillaceae.